UACGUACGAGGCGAGCGUUAUCCGGAAUUACUGGGCGUAAAGCGCGCGCAGGUGGUGCGAUAAGUAGGGCGUGAAAUCUCCCGGCCUAACUGGGAGGGGUCGCCCUAGACUGUCGGACUUGAGGACUGCAGAGGUGGGUGGAAUUCCUGGUGUAGUGGUGAAAUGCGUAGAGAUCAGGAGGAACACCGGUGGCGAAGGCGGCCCACUGGGCAGUCACUGACGCUGAGGCGCGAAAGCUCGGGGAGCGAACGGG
RNAcentral lists this ribosomal RNA (253 nucleotides) under uncultured bacterium. Its description in RNAcentral is "partial 16S ribosomal RNA". It matches the Rfam family "Bacterial small subunit ribosomal RNA", at positions 524 to 776 of the family's 1533-position model. The record is from RNAcentral.